GUGAAGAACGCAGCGAAAUGCGAUAAGUAGUGUGAAUUGCAGAAUUCAGUGAAUCAUCGAAUCUUUGAACGCACAUUGCGCCCCUUGGUAUUCCAUGGGGCAUGCCUGUUCGAGCGUCAUUUGUACCUUCAAGCUUUGCUUGGUGUUGGGUGUUUGUCUCGCCUUUGCGUGUAGACUCGCCUUAAAAUAAUUGGCAGCCGGCGUAUUGAUUUCGGAGCGCAGUACAUCUCGCGCUUUGCACUCAUAACGACAGCUUCCAAAAGUACAUUUUACACUCUUGACCUCGGAUCAGGUAGGGAUACCCGCUGAACUUAAGCAUAUCAAUAAGCGGAGGA
This 335-nucleotide unclassified non-coding RNA is filed under the name soil metagenome. Its description in RNAcentral is "partial contains 5.8S ribosomal RNA, internal transcribed spacer 2, and large subunit ribosomal RNA". The stretch from base 2 to 119 matches the Rfam family "5.8S ribosomal RNA", at positions 37 to 154 of the family's 154-position model. The record is from RNAcentral.